UACGUAGGGUGCGAGCGUUGUCCGGAAUUAUUGGGCGUAAAGAGCUUGUAGGCGGUCUGUCGCGUCUGCUGUGAAAAUCCGGGGCUCAACCCCGGACUUGCAGUGGGUACGGGCAGACUAGAGUGUGGUAGGGGAGACUGGAAUUCCUGGUGUAGCGGUGAAAUGCGCAGAUAUCAGGAGGAACACCGAUGGCGAAGGCAGGUCACUGGGCCGCAACUGACGCUGAGGAGCGAAAGCAUGGGGAGCGAACAGG
RNAcentral lists this ribosomal RNA (253 nucleotides) under uncultured bacterium. Its description in RNAcentral is "partial 16S ribosomal RNA". It matches the Rfam family "Bacterial small subunit ribosomal RNA", at positions 524 to 776 of the family's 1533-position model. The record is from RNAcentral.